Macadamia integrifolia is the source of this 1274-nucleotide long non-coding RNA. RefSeq lists it as uncharacterized. The record is from RefSeq and is a predicted model, not a curated record. NCBI's taxonomy places the organism in Eukaryota, Viridiplantae, Streptophyta, Magnoliopsida, Proteales, Proteaceae. The transcript is spliced from 2 exons.
GCUUUGAAAUGCUAAUUUUCAAGGAAGUAGUGUAUAUUGAUGAUAGUCUUCUUGCUUAAUGUUUGUAAAGCUUGGUCAUACUAGUUCUCAAUUAAAUAGUGAUGUGGGCCACAGGGCCUGAUAGAUGAAACACAAAUUUGAUUGGGUUGGGUCAUUUCAUCUUGUUUGGUGGUUUUCCUUCGACUCUUUUUUUUUUUUCAUUCCCUUUUGAAGGAGAAAAGAAAGAUACAAGUCCACUUCCUGGCAUCACUGUGAUGGAAAUUGUGUACUAGAAAGUUGGGGGGGGGGGGGAGUAAUGAAAGAAAUUUCUAUCCCUGGCCAAAAAGAAUGCAGUUAUUAAGGUUAGGUUAUGCAAUUAUCUUUUCAGAUCCAAUUAAAAAAAAAUUGGCAGUCUCUUCCUUUCUCUUUUUGAGAGAUAAAUAUAUUCUUUGGGCUAAUGGAAACCAUGACCAUUCUCUCCUCUAAAAAAUGCAGGGACAACCCUAAAAUCUGGUUGCAGCUCUUUUAUCUUUUUGAGGGGAAAGUUAAACUUUUUGGGAGAAGCAGAAAUAAUUUAGAAAUGAGCUUAUUUACAACCACAAACAUCCUAUUGAAAAUGAGUCAAUUGAAUACAAAAUUUUCAUCCACAAUAGGCAGUUUUUGAACACCCCUAAGAAAAGAGAAAACAGAAAGAGGAAAUUUAUGUCAUUAAUCAUGAUGUUGCAUUGUUGUCACAUGUCAGUACUGUGAUGGGUCCAUGUGAUAGAGGACCAUGAAGCCAUCUUAUUGGUGAAUUUCAACCCUAUUUGUGUAGAGGAAGUGGUUCACAAUUACAAAGAUGCCAUUUUUAAUUUUCUCUCUCUAGUGGCAAAUUCGCAAAUUUGAAACUUUAGUUCAAACUUUGAUCCACUUCCCUUAUUUUCAGUUGAAAUUUUUUAUGAGUGACAUGGGUCUGAGUUCAUAUUUCACAUAGACCGACUGUUGUAUUGCCAUGUGGCAAGCUCAUGAAGGAUAAACUUCACUGUGUAUAAUGAAGCAUAGAAGGAUUCAAUACACUUGUUUCAAAAUUUAUAGCGGCCAUGAUCCCUCCUGCAAAUUGCUUGAUCCAUAGGAGCACGAAAAUAGCCUUCCAUGGCCGCUGUCCUUGAAGAUUUUAGACCGUCCAUGCUGACUUGGGAACAAACAACCACCAGCAAGUGAUUGCCUGCAUUUGAAGUGUUGCAAAAAUAUGUCAGAAGGUGCAAAAUCAAUAGGCGCCAGAGCUGCUACAAUUGCUUCAGCGGGAGCUGCUGUCG